This 509-nucleotide ribosomal RNA is filed under the name uncultured Flavobacteriia bacterium. Its description in RNAcentral is "bacterial SSU rRNA". It matches the Rfam family "Bacterial small subunit ribosomal RNA", at positions 383 to 894 of the family's 1533-position model. The record is from RNAcentral. Lineage: Bacteria; Pseudomonadati; Bacteroidota; Flavobacteriia.
CUGAUCCAGCCAUCCCGCGUGCAGCAGACUGCCCUAUGGUUGUAAACUGCUUUUAUACAGGAAGAAACUUUCCACGUGUGGAGAGCUGWCGGUACUGUAAGAAUAAGGAUCGGCUAACUCCGUGCCAGCAGMCGCGGUAAUACGGAGGAUCCAAGCGUUAUCCGGAAUCAUUGGGUUUAAAGSGUCCGUAGGUGGAUAAUUAAGUCAGAGGUGAAAGUUUGCGGCUCAACCGUAAAACUUGCCUUUGAUACUGGUUAUCUUGAAUSAUUGUGAAGUGGUUAGAAUAUGUAGUGUAKCGGUGAAAUGCAUAGAUAUUACAUAGAAUACCAAUUGCGAAGGCAGAUCACUAACAAUGUAUUGACACUGAUGGACGAAAGCGUGGGGAGCGAACGGGAUUAGAUACCCCGGUAGUCCACGCCGUAAACGAUGGUCACUAGCUGUUCGGACUUCGGUCUGAGUGGCUAAGCGAAAGUGAUAAGUGACCCACCUGGGGAGUACGGUCGCAAGAA